RNAcentral lists this RNase P RNA (393 nucleotides) under Devosia limi DSM 17137. Its description in RNAcentral is "Bacterial RNase P class A". It matches the Rfam family "Bacterial RNase P class A". Rfam says of the family: Ribonuclease P (RNase P) is a ubiquitous endoribonuclease, found in archaea, bacteria and eukarya as well as chloroplasts and mitochondria. Lineage: Bacteria; Pseudomonadati; Pseudomonadota; Alphaproteobacteria; Hyphomicrobiales; Devosiaceae. The record is from Rfam by way of RNAcentral.
CCAGUUGACCGGGUGGCCGCUGUCGGAUGGGUAACUGUCCGAUGGAGGAAAGUCCGGGCUCCAUCGAAACACGGUGCCGGGUAACGCCCGGCGGGGGCGACCCUAGGGAAAGUGCCACAGAAAGCAAACCGCCGGUCUUCGGACAGGCAAGGGUGAAAGGGUGCGGUAAGAGCGCACCGGGCGACCAGCAAUGGAAGCCGCACGGUAAACCCCACCGGGAGCAAGACCAAAUAGGGAUGACGCGGGGCUUCGGCCCCAGCCUGUUUCGAGGCCAGAUCAUCCGGGUUGGUUGCACCAGGCGUCCUGGCAACAGGCGCCGCAGAUGAAUGGCCACCACGUACGCACUCUCGGGUGCGUGCCCUACAGAACCCGGCUUAUAGGUCAACUGGCAUU